Molecule: ribosomal RNA, 1584 nt
Filed under: human gut metagenome
Description: bacterial LSU rRNA
Rfam family: Bacterial large subunit ribosomal RNA
Source: RNAcentral
CCCAAGUAACAUGGAACACGAGGAAUUCUGUGUGAAUCUGCGAGGACCAUAUCUCGUAAGGCUAAAUACUCUUACUAACCGAUAGCGUAUAGUACCGUGAGGGAAAGGUGAAAAGAACCCCGGGAGGGGAGUGAAAUAGAACCUGAAACUAUGUGCUUACAAGCGGUCAGAGCCCGCAAGGGUGAUGGCGUGCCUUUUGGAGAAUGAUCCUGCGAGUUACGUUCAGUGGCAAGGUUAAGUUUAACGGAGCCGAAGGGAAACCGAGUCUGAACAGGGCGAUUUUAGUCGCUGGGCGUAGACGCGAAACCUGGUGAUCUAAGCCUGUCCAGGGUGAAGCUGUGGUAAGACACAGUGGAGGCCCGAACUCACCGCCGUUGAAAAGUUGGGAGAUGAGGUAGGUUUAGGGGUGAAAAGCCAAUCGAACUAGGAGAUAGCUCGUUCUCUCCGAAAUGCAUUUAGGUGCAGCCUUGAGUGUUUAAUUAUGGGGGUAGAGCACUGAAUGGACUAGGGGGCGCAUUGCUUACUGAAUCCAAUCAAACUCCGAAUACCAUAAUUCAAGAGCUCAGGAGUGAGACUAUGGGAAUUAACUUCCAUUGUCAAAAGGGAAACAACCCAGACCACCAGCUAAGGUCCCUAAUCAUAACUAAGUGGGAAAGGAGGUGGAGAUUCAUAAACAACCAGGAGGUUGGCUUAGAAGCAGCCAUUCAUUUAAAGAGUGCGUAAUAGCUCACUGGUCGAGAGUCUCUGCGCCGACAAUGUAACGGGGCUAAGUUAUGAACCGAAGCUGUGGAAUUGCGCAAGCAAUUGGUAGGAGAGCGUUCUGUAGGCCGUUGAAGGAGAAGCGUAAGCAACUCUGGAGGUAUCAGAAGUGAGAAUGCAGGAAUAAGUAGCGAGAAGGGAGGCGAGAAUCCUCCCCGCCGGAAGACCAAGGUUUUCAGGGUAAAGCUUGUCUUCCCUGAGUAAGCCGGGACCUAAGCCGAGGCUAUAGUGCGUAGGCGAAUGGAAAACAGAUUAAUAUUUCUGUGCCAGUCAUAUUUUGUGAUGGAGGGACGCAGAAGGGUAUGUACGCGGAAGAACGGUAGUUUCCGUAAAAGCAUGUAGAAUGACUUGAUAGGUAAAUCCGUCAAGUUAGAUUUGAGGUGUGAUAUAUAGUCGUAAGAUGAAUGUACAAAUCCCACGCUGCCGAGAAAAGCUUCUAACGUUAAGGUAUGACUGCCCGUACCCGAAACCGACACAGGUGGUCAGGAUGAGAAAUCUAAGGCGGACAGGCUAACUCUCGUUAAGGAACUCUGCAAAAUUGCCCCGUAACUUCGGGAGAAGGGGUGCCCCUGAGUGUGAGCAUACACGCGAUGUUAAGCGCUUGGGGGUCGCAGUGAAGAGGCUCAAGCAACUGUUUAACAAAAACACAGGUCUAUGCUAAGCUGUAAGGCGAUGUAUAUGGGCUGACACCUGCCCAGUGCCGGAAGGUUAAGAGGAGGAGUGAGAGCUCCGAAUUGAAGCCCCGGUGAACGGCGGCCGUAACUAUAACGGUCCUAAGGUAGCGAAAUUCCUUGUCGGGUAAGUUCCGACCUGCACGAAUGGUGU